UGCCGGUGAUGCACACAAAAUUGUCCGUACCAUCUGAGAUUUUCUCUUUGAUGUAUACUCUAAAGUCUAUUUUCUGAGGCAU
Molecule: non-coding RNA, 82 nt
Organism: Corchorus olitorius
Lineage: Eukaryota; Viridiplantae; Streptophyta; Magnoliopsida; Malvales; Malvaceae
Source: Rfam